RNAcentral lists this long non-coding RNA (1532 nucleotides) under Vulpes vulpes (red fox). RNAcentral's name for it is "lncRNA (ENSVVUG00000006870.1)". The record is from RNAcentral. Lineage: Eukaryota; Metazoa; Chordata; Mammalia; Carnivora; Canidae.
AAAACAUCUCUAAUUCCAACACAACUGCCCACAAUCAGGGGCAAGUCCACUAAUCAGCAAGUGAGUAAAUAAAUGGCCUGGGGCAAGACUUCAGGACUUGCACCAGCACCCCCUGCACCACAUGACACUGGUAGGGGAGAGUGAGCUUUAUAGCACAGGUCUUGGGAAGGCAGCCCUCCUGGUGUCCGGAGCCAGCCUACGCCUGAGGCUCCACGGGCUCACUUCACAGCCCAGCUGGAUGUGCAUGUCACUGGGCAACUGUGACACGAGCUUGCAGGUGACACCAAGACUGGCAAGCCCAGGCCCUGCUGCUGAGUUCCCAGUAGAGGUGGGCAGAGAAGGCACAUCCAUGGGGGGCACCAGAGUACAUCGUGGCACCGGAGCCCGACAGGCUGGGUUCCAAACCCCCUCCGCCACACACCAAUGUGGCCUCAGGCAGCUCACCAAAAUCAUCUUUGCUACCACCACUCACUGGGGCACUUGCCGUAUGACAGGUGCAGGGCAAGCACUGGACAGAUUUUGUCUCAUUUAAUCCUCACAAAACCCAGCAAGGUAAGUACCUUCACAGAGGGACAGAGGGACAGAGACAUACAUAAAUUAAGUGGCUUGUAACUUAAAUUAGUGAUUUAAAGUGAGGUCACCCAGUUCACAGGUGGCAGGGCCGGGAUUUAAUCCCAAGGCAGUCUGACUCCCAAUUUUGCCUUACAUUUGGGUUCAUGAGACAAACUGCAGACACAAGACAUCAGGGGGUGGAGGGUCAGCAGCAAGAAGGACUGAGAGGGCUUAGUCUAAUGAGUUCAUGGGCCAAGAGUGUCACCAUAAUUCUAAGUUGUAUUAACAGCCAGAGGGUCUGGAUCCUGGGAGGUGGAGUCAGCGCAAUCCUGGGGCUCUCAAUCCCAAACCAGUCCUGUGAUCCUGUGCCCAGUUCUGAGGCUGGACCUGAAGAGCACCACGGCAACCUUGAGCAUUGCUAGAGGGCAGCUGGGAGGGGUGGGAUUGAGGGCUCACAACUAUGUCCAGCAUGGAAGGGCAACUGGAAUCACCAGACAAUGGUAAAGGAGCUGUGAGCCUGUUCACUUGGAGGGCCAUGGAGGGAGGCCGGGCCGGCACAGCUGCACCAUCACAUGGGGUUUAUCAGGGCCUAACAGAGAAGGCCAAUGUAUCUUCCAAAAACUGGAACAAUGCUCUGGAGGGGACAUGUGAGGUCUUGGGGGGAAGACUUAGGCCAUGGCUAGAACCUCAAAAUGAGCAUCCCAGUGAAGAAGAGCAGAGCCCAAGGCCUUGGGGAGGAAGAACAUUCUCUUUUGGACUGAAGAUUAUGGAGAUUCUGAAAGAUAAGAGUUGAGAAAAAUGAAGUAUAUAAAGUUUUGAGAUAUGGAGUGAUUUGCCCAAGGCCAGUGGCUAGUUUUAUAUAGAACAGGUGGCCCAUCCUGCAAUCCCAUGGUGAAUGGGUAAAUGCCAGCCUAUGAGGGCAUCUGGGCCCAGGUGCUGGACAACAACCCAUACUUCAGUGUCUAAAGACAUACUUUAGA